Molecule: ribosomal RNA, 372 nt
Filed under: uncultured bacterium
Lineage: Bacteria
Description: partial 16S ribosomal RNA
Rfam family: Bacterial small subunit ribosomal RNA
Source: RNAcentral
CCUACGGGAGGCAGCAGUGAGGAAUAUUGGUCAAUGGGCGAGAGCCUGAACCAGCCAAGUUGCGUGAGGGAGUACUGCCCUAUGGGUUGUAAACCUCUUUUGUCGGGGAGCAAAAGCCGGACGUGUCCGGCUGUGAGAGUACCCGAAGAAAAAGCAUCGGCUAACUCAGUGCCAGCAGCCGCGGUAAUACGGAGGAUGCGAGCGUUAUCCGGAUUUAUUGGGUGUAAAGGGGGCGCAGGCGGAUUGUUAAGGAAGCGGUAAAAGCGUGGGGCUCAAACCCAUCCAGCCGUUGGAACUGGGGAUCUAGAGUGUGCGAGGGGCAGGCGGAAUGCCUGGUGUAGCGGUGAAAUGCAUAGAUAUCACGCAGAACCC